Molecule: ribosomal RNA, 376 nt
Filed under: uncultured bacterium
Lineage: Bacteria
Description: bacterial SSU rRNA
Rfam family: Bacterial small subunit ribosomal RNA
Source: RNAcentral
UAAUACGUAGGGUGCAAGCGUUAAUCGGAAUUACUGGGCGUAAAGCGUGCGCAGGCGGCUUUGCAAGACAGAUGUGAAAUCCCCGGGCUUAACCUGGGAACUGCAUUUGUGACUGCAUGGCUGGAGUGCGGCAGAGGGGGAUGGAAUUCCGCGUGUAGCAGUGAAAUGCGUAGAUAUGCGGAGGAACACCGAUGGCGAAGGCAAUCCCCUGGGCCUGCACUGACGCUCAUGCACGAAAGCGUGGGGAGCAAACAGGAUUAGAUACCCUGGUAGUCCACGCCCUAAACGAUGUCGACUGGUUGUUGGGGGUUUGACACUCUCAGUAACGAAGCUAACGCGUGAAGUCGACCGCCUGGGGAGUACGGCCGCAAGGUUA